Molecule: ribosomal RNA, 92 nt
Filed under: Caerostris darwini
Lineage: Eukaryota; Metazoa; Arthropoda; Arachnida; Araneae; Araneidae
Source: RNAcentral
GAAAACCGGUUCUCGUUAGAUCACCGAAGUCAAGCAUCAUUGGGCGCGGUCAGUACUUGGGUGGGUGACCACCUGGGAACAUCGUGCCGUUG